GACGAACGCUGGCGGCGUGCUUAACACAUGCAAGUCGAACGGAAAGGCCCUGCUUUUGUGGGGUGCUCGAGUGGCGAACGGGUGAGUAACACGUGAGUAACCUGCCCUUGACUUUGGGAUAACUUCAGGAAACUGGGGCUAAUACCGGAAAUGAGCUCCUGCUGCAUGGUGGGGGUUGGAAAGUUUCGGCGGAUGGGGAUGGACUCGCGGCUUAUCAGCCUGUUGGUGGGGUAGUGGCUUACCAAGGCUUUGACGGGUAGCCGGCCUGAGAGGGGGACCGGAGACAUUGGGCAUACGAUACGGCGAAGACGCAUACGGGAGGCAGCAGUGGGGAGUAUUGCACAGUGGGCGGGAGCCUGAGGCAGCAACGCCGCGUGCGGGAUGAUGGCCUUCGUGUGGUAAACAGCUUUCGCCUGGGACGAAGCGGGAGUGACGGUAGUGGGUAAAGAAGCACCGGCUAACUACGUG
Molecule: ribosomal RNA, 468 nt
Filed under: uncultured bacterium
Lineage: Bacteria
Description: partial 16S ribosomal RNA
Rfam family: Bacterial small subunit ribosomal RNA
Source: RNAcentral